ACCUGUUGCGGGCGGUAGCGAGUGGGCGCCCGCAACACCAGACAGAACACCGUGCCUCGGGAACAUCGUGGCACUUCAGGGCGUU
Streptomyces sp. CdTB01 is the source of this 85-nucleotide small RNA. It matches the Rfam family "nrdJ RNA". The record is from Rfam. Lineage: Bacteria; Bacillati; Actinomycetota; Actinomycetes; Kitasatosporales; Streptomycetaceae.